UACGUAGGGUGCAAGCGUUAAUCGGAAUUACUGGGCGUAAAGCGUGCGCAGGCGGUUUUGUAAGUCUGACGUGAAAUCCCCGGGCUUAACCUGGGAAUUGGCGUUGGAGACUGCAAGGCUGGAGUCUGGCAGAGGGGGGUAGAAGUUCCACGGUGUGAGCAGUGAAAUGACGUAGAGAUGUGGAGGAACACCGAUGGCGCAAGG
This 204-nucleotide ribosomal RNA is filed under the name uncultured bacterium. Its description in RNAcentral is "partial 16S ribosomal RNA". It matches the Rfam family "Bacterial small subunit ribosomal RNA", at positions 524 to 721 of the family's 1533-position model. The record is from RNAcentral.